UACGUAGGGCGCAAGCGUUAUCCGGAAUUAUUGGGCGUAAAGAGCUCGUAGGCGGUUUGUCGCGUCUGCCGUGAAAGUCCGGGGCUCAACUCCGGAUCUGCGGUGGGUACGGGCAGACUAGAGUGAUGUAGGGGAGACUGGAAUUCCUGGUGUAGCGGUGAAAUGCGCAGAUAUCAGGAGGAACACCGGUGGCGAAGGCGGGUCUCUGGGCAAUAACUGACGCUGAGGAGCGAAAGCGUGGGGAGCGAACAGG
This 253-nucleotide ribosomal RNA is filed under the name uncultured bacterium. RNAcentral describes it as "partial 16S ribosomal RNA". It matches the Rfam family "Bacterial small subunit ribosomal RNA", at positions 524 to 776 of the family's 1533-position model. The record is from RNAcentral.